CUAAGUUUGGUAAUAGUCCCCCAGUGGUUUACCUCAGCUUCCUUGUAGAACUUUUAAAUGUUUUUUGCAUACCCCACAACUGCCAACUCAUUGUACACAUCUCCGGCAUCAAUAUCUUCAAUCUUUUCCUUCGGUAAUUUAAUGUUCAGUCCACAAGCAGCCUAUGCAAAAACA
Molecule: long non-coding RNA, 174 nt
Organism: Ipomoea nil (Japanese morning glory)
Lineage: Eukaryota; Viridiplantae; Streptophyta; Magnoliopsida; Solanales; Convolvulaceae
Exons: 3
Source: RefSeq, a predicted model, not a curated record